GGGGGCGACAGGUUUCGACCGUGAGACGGGACCCCCAGGUUGCAAGCCGAGGCGCCGUUGGCCUCGUAUAAAAAACGGCAAAACAACAAACGCGAACACCAAGUUCACGACGGCGCGUGCUUCGUACGCGCUGGCUGCCUAACCUAAUCCGUUAGGUCGCACCAGACCUGCUUUUGAGCGGUCCGUCCCGCCCCUCCCCGCCCGCCGGAGGGAGCCGGGGCGUCACACACGCGG
This 234-nucleotide transfer-messenger RNA is filed under the name Armatimonadota bacterium. Its description in RNAcentral is "Armatimonadetes bacterium (rhizosphere metagenome) partial transfer-messenger RNA". It matches the Rfam family "transfer-messenger RNA", at positions 1 to 198 of the family's 374-position model. Rfam says of the family: Bacterial tmRNA, also known as 10Sa RNA or SsrA, is named for its dual tRNA and mRNA-like properties. Its role is to liberate the mRNA from a stalled ribosome. The record is from RNAcentral. Lineage: Bacteria; Bacillati; Armatimonadota.